GAUGAACGCUGGCUACAGGCUUAACACAUGCAAGUCGAGGGGAGACGACGGGGAAGCUUGCUUCCCCGGGCGUCGACCGGCGCACGGGUGAGUAACGCGUAUCCAACCUGCCUCUGACUGAGGGAUAACCCGUCGAAAGUCGGCCUAAUACCUCAUGGCAUCGUCUGCGGGCAUCCAACGACGAUUAAAGAUUUCAUCGGUCAGGGAUGGGGAUGCGUCUGAUUAGCUUGUUGGCGGGGUAACGGCCCACCAAGGCUACGAUCAGUAGGGGUUCUGAGAGGAAGGUCCCCCACAUUGGAACUGAGACACGGUCCAAACUCCUACGGGAGGCAGCAGUGAGGAAUAUUGGUCAAUGGGCGGGAGCCUGAACCAGCCAAGUAGCGUGCAGGAUGACGGCCCUAUGGGUUGUAAACUGCUUUUAUGCGGGGAUAAAGUGAGGGACGUGUCCUUCAUUGCAGGUACCGCAUGAAUAAGGACCGGCUAAUUCCGUG
Molecule: ribosomal RNA, 491 nt
Filed under: uncultured bacterium
Lineage: Bacteria
Description: partial 16S ribosomal RNA
Rfam family: Bacterial small subunit ribosomal RNA
Source: RNAcentral